This 442-nucleotide ribosomal RNA is filed under the name uncultured bacterium. RNAcentral's name for it is "partial 16S ribosomal RNA". It matches the Rfam family "Bacterial small subunit ribosomal RNA", at positions 338 to 795 of the family's 1533-position model. The record is from RNAcentral.
CCUACGGGAGGCAGCAGUGGGGAAUAUUGGGCAAUGGGCGCAAGCCUGACCCAGCAACGCCGCGUGAAGGAAGAAGGCUUUCGGGUUGUAAACUUCUUUUAAGAGGGAAGAGCAGAAGACGGUACCUCUUGAAUAAGCCACGGCUAACUACGUGCCAGCAGCCGCGGUAAUACGUAGGUGGCAAGCGUUGUCCGGAUUUACUGGGUGUAAAGGGCGUGCAGCCGGGAAGACAAGUCAGAUGUGAAAUCCCGGGGCUCAACCGCGGAACUGCAUCUGAAACUGUUGUUCUUGAGUACCGGGGAGGUCAGCGGAAUUACUUGUGUAGCGGUGAAAUGCUUAGAUAUCACGAAGAACCCCGAUUGCGAAGGCAGCCUGCCGAAGCGUUACUGACGCUGAAGCACGAAAGCGCGGGUAUCGAACAGGAUUAGAUACCCGAGUAGUC